RNAcentral lists this ribosomal RNA (119 nucleotides) under Danio rerio (zebrafish). The record is from RNAcentral. Lineage: Eukaryota; Metazoa; Chordata; Actinopteri; Cypriniformes; Danionidae.
UGCCACAGCCAUAUCGCCCUUCAGCCUAAGAUUGGUUACUAACUGAAGCUAAGCAAGGCUGAGCCUGAUCAGUACCUGAAUGGGAAGACCACAUGGAAAAACUAGGUUGCUAAUGGAAG